This 2806-nucleotide ribosomal RNA is filed under the name Klebsiella quasipneumoniae. RNAcentral's name for it is "23S ribosomal RNA". It matches the Rfam family "Bacterial large subunit ribosomal RNA". The record is from RNAcentral. Lineage: Bacteria; Pseudomonadati; Pseudomonadota; Gammaproteobacteria; Enterobacterales; Enterobacteriaceae.
UUAAGCGACUAAGCGUACACGGUGGAUGCCCUGGCAGUCAGAGGCGAUGAAGGACGUGCUAAUCUGCGAAAAGCGUCGGUAAGGUGAUAUGAACCGUUACAGCCGGCGAUGUCCGAAUGGGGAAACCCAGUGUGAUUUGUCACACUAUCGUUAACUGAAUACAUAGGUUAACGAGGCGAACCGGGGGAACUGAAACAUCUAAGUACCCCGAGGAAAAGAAAUCAACCGAGAUUCCCCCAGUAGCGGCGAGCGAACGGGGAGCAGCCCAGAGUCUGAAUCAGCUUGUGUGUUAGUGGAACGGUCUGGAAAGUCCGACGGUACAGGGUGAUAGUCCCGUACACCAAAAUGCACAGGUUGUGAACUCGAAGAGUAGGGCGGGACACGUGGUAUCCUGUCUGAAUAUGGGGGGACCAUCCUCCAAGGCUAAAUACUCCUGACUGACCGAUAGUGAACCAGUACCGUGAGGGAAAGGCGAAAAGAACCCCGGCGAGGGGAGUGAAAAAGAACCUGAAACCGUGUACGUACAAGCAGUGGGAGCACCUUCGUGGUGUGACUGCGUACCUUUUGUAUAAUGGGUCAGCGACUUAUAUUCUGUAGCAAGGUUAACCGUAUAGGGGAGCCGCAGGGAAACCGAGUCUUAACUGGGCGUUAAGUUGCAGGGUAUAGACCCGAAACCCGGUGAUCUAGCCAUGGGCAGGUUGAAGGUUGGGUAACACUAACUGGAGGACCGAACCGACUAAUGUUGAAAAAUUAGCGGAUGACUUGUGGCUGGGGGUGAAAGGCCAAUCAAACCGGGAGAUAGCUGGUUCUCCCCGAAAGCUAUUUAGGUAGCGCCUCGUGAANUCAUCUUCGGGGGUAGAGCACUGUUUCGGCUAGGGGGUCAUCCCGACUUACCAACCCGAUGCAAACUACGAAUACCGAAGAAUGUUAUCACGGGAGACACACGGCGGGUGCUAACGUCCGUCGUGAAGAGGGAAACAACCCAGACCGCCAGCUAAGGUCCCAAAGUCAUGGUUAAGUGGGAAACGAUGUGGGAAGGCACAGACAGCCAGGAUGUUGGCUUAGAAGCAGCCAUCAUUUAAAGAAAGCGUAAUAGCUCACUGGUCGAGUCGGCCUGCGCGGAAGAUGUAACGGGGCUAAACCAUGCACCGAAGCUGCGGCAGCGACACGAUGUGUUGUUGGGUAGGGGAGCGUUCUGUAAGCCUGCGAAGGUGACCUGUGAGGGUUGCUGGAGGUAUCAGAAGUGCGAAUGCUGACAUAAGUAACGAUAAAGCGGGUGAAAAGCCCGCUCGCCGGAAGACCAAGGGUUCCUGUCCAACGUUAAUCGGGGCAGGGUGAGUCGACCCCUAAGGCGAGGCCGAAAGGCGUAGUCGAUGGGAAACAGGUUAAUAUUCCUGUACUUGGUGUUACUGCGAAGGGGGGACGGAGAAGGCUAUGUUAGCCGGGCGACGGUUGUCCCGGUUUAAGCAUGUAGGCUGGUUAUCCAGGCAAAUCCGGAUAAUCAAGGCUGAGGUGUGAUGACGAGGCACUACGGUGCUGAAGUAACAAAUGCCCUGCUUCCAGGAAAAGCCUCUAAGCAUCAGGUAACAUCAAAUCGUACCCCAAACCGACACAGGUGGUCAGGUAGAGAAUACCAAGGCGCUUGAGAGAACUCGGGUGAAGGAACUAGGCAAAAUGGUGCCGUAACUUCGGGAGAAGGCACGCUGGUGUGUAGGUGAAGCCCCUGCGGGUGGAGCUGAGACCAGUCGAAGAUACCAGCUGGCUGCAACUGUUUAUUAAAAACACAGCACUGUGCAAACACGAAAGUGGACGUAUACGGUGUGACGCCUGCCCGGUGCCGGAAGGUUAAUUGAUGGGGUUAUCCGUAAGGAGAAGCUCUUGAUCGAAGCCCCGGUAAACGGCGGCCGUAACUAUAACGGUCCUAAGGUAGCGAAAUUCCUUGUCGGGUAAGUUCCGACCUGCACGAAUGGCGUAAUGAUGGCCAGGCUGUCUCCACCCGAGACUCAGUGAAAUUGAACUCGCUGUGAAGAUGCAGUGUACCCGCGGCAAGACGGAAAGACCCCGUGAACCUUUACUAUAGCUUGACACUGAACAUUGAGCCUUGAUGUGUAGGAUAGGUGGGAGGCUUUGAAGCGUGGACGCCAGUCUGCGUGGAGCCAACCUUGAAAUACCACCCUUUAAUGUUUGAUGUUCUAACGUUGGCCCCUNNNNNNNNNNNNNNNNCGGGGUUGCGGACAGUGUCUGGUGGGUAGUUUGACUGGGGCGGUCUCCUCCCAAAGCGUAACGGAGGAGCACGAAGGUUAGCUAAUCCUGGUCGGACAUCAGGAGGUUAGUGCAAUGGCAUAAGCUAGCUUGACUGCGAGCGUGACGGCGCGAGCAGGUGCGAAAGCAGGUCAUAGUGAUCCGGUGGUUCUGAAUGGAAGGGCCAUCGCUCAACGGAUAAAAGGUACUCCGGGGAUAACAGGCUGAUACCGCCCAAGAGUUCAUAUCGACGGCGGUGUUUGGCACCUCGAUGUCGGCUCAUCACAUCCUGGGGCUGAAGUAGGUCCCAAGGGUAUGGCUGUUCGCCAUUUAAAGUGGUACGCGAGCUGGGUUUAGAACGUCGUGAGACAGUUCGGUCCCUAUCUGCCGUGGGCGCUGGAGAAUUGAGGGGGGCUGCUCCUAGUACGAGAGGACCGGAGUGGACGCAUCACUGGUGUUCGGGUUGUCAUGCCAAUGGCACUGCCCGGUAGCUAAAUGCGGAAGAGAUAAGUGCUGAAAGCAUCUAAGCACGAAACUUGCCCCGAGAUGAGUUCUCCCUGAGACU